Molecule: transfer RNA, 73 nt
Filed under: Trichonephila clavata
Lineage: Eukaryota; Metazoa; Arthropoda; Arachnida; Araneae; Nephilidae
Rfam family: tRNA
About the family: Transfer RNA (tRNA) molecules are approximately 80 nucleotides in length. Their secondary structure includes four short double-helical elements and three loops (D, anti-codon, and T loops).
Source: Rfam by way of RNAcentral
GUCCCUGUAGCGCAAUGGAUAGCACGUUGGACUUCUAAUCCAAAGGUCGUGGGUUCGAAUCCCUCCUGGCAUG